This is a long non-coding RNA of Paramisgurnus dabryanus, 608 nucleotides long. RefSeq lists it as uncharacterized. Lineage: Eukaryota; Metazoa; Chordata; Actinopteri; Cypriniformes; Cobitidae. The record is from RefSeq and is a predicted model, not a curated record.
UUGUUUAUUGGUGUGCCAAACCGCCAUAAAACACCAGAAGAAGAACUCACCGUAACUCCAGAGUAUACGUCAGAUCGCGGAUUCAUAUGCAGUUAUUCAUAUGUAGCGUUUAUGUGGAAGUGAAAGUCCGUGACAAAAUAUUACCUCAAGUACACCACUAUGUGAAAAUGGUCACUCUUGUGCAAUACAUGACCAAAUCUGAUGACUCCCAACUCCCCGACCAAAGUACUGCAGCAGUCAAUAACAUAUCCACAAGAGUUAAAUGGGGCACUUUCUAUAUGAGAGUUCAACCUUUCUGUCUUGAGAGAUUCACACCUUUCAGAUUCCCAGCUUUAUGAUAUUGUUCAGAAUUUGGUUGGAGAAAAUUAGGAGAUUGGGGCAAAUGCUGUUCGGUCCAGGCUUGCAGCUAUAAAUAUUCGAGUGCCGCGAAGGAGACUUGGACUGUAUGGUUAGAGUAAAUACUUUUUACCUACUUAGGUCCCAAGCUUUGGAAUGUUUUGCCCAACAAUGUUCAAUUUAAGUCUAAACUAAAGACAUAUCUCUUUAACAAAGGAUUCACAUAAUUCGCCUAUUAAAUAUACGUAUGCCGCAAUAGUUAGCUUGUCUGG